Molecule: transfer RNA, 73 nt
Filed under: Canis lupus familiaris (dog)
Lineage: Eukaryota; Metazoa; Chordata; Mammalia; Carnivora; Canidae
Also listed under: 1 other name
Rfam family: tRNA
About the family: Transfer RNA (tRNA) molecules are approximately 80 nucleotides in length.
Source: Rfam by way of RNAcentral
ACCUGGCUGGCUCAGUUGGUAGAGCAUGUGACUCUCGAUCUCAGGGUUGUGAGUUUGAGCCCCACAUUGGGCA